This 580-nucleotide small RNA is filed under the name Pongo abelii (Sumatran orangutan). Its description in RNAcentral is "processed transcript". The record is from RNAcentral. Lineage: Eukaryota; Metazoa; Chordata; Mammalia; Primates; Hominidae.
ACAACACAAAGGGCAGCGCCGUCACCACAGAGAAUGAUCUGGCUCAAAAUGUCAGCAGGGCCCAGGUUAUGAAGCCCUCACCCCUGGACCAAGGCGGAGCUGGCAGUGGCUGGCCUGCCACUUGGUACAGGCGAGGAUGUUCUUGCAGGAGGACUAUGGCGCAGCCCUGCGGGGCCUGUGCGAAGACGCCCUGGAAGGCCUGCUCUUCCUGCUGCUCUUCUCCCUGCUGUCCGCAGGAGCGCUGGCCACUGCCCUCUGCAGCCUGCCCCGAGCCUGGGCCCUCUUCCCACCCAGUGACGACUACGAUGACACAGACGAUGACGACCCUUUCAACCCUCAGGAAUCCAAGCGCUUUGUGCAGUGGCAGUCGUCUAUCUGAGCCCCUCCUCCCGGCUGGACUGGAGCCUGGCUCCCCUCUUCGGUGAGCUUCCAAGGGCCACCCCAGCUCCCACAGCCUGGCCUCUGCCCUCCCCUCCUGCCCUCUGAGCUGCUCCAGGCAUGGGCUGCGUGCUUCCUGCUGGGUGGAUCGCGCCGGGCAGGCCCUCCAGCCUGCAUCACUGCCCUGUCUCUCCCUCUCUCC